Long non-coding RNA from Trifolium pratense (red clover), 4389 nucleotides. RefSeq lists it as uncharacterized. Lineage: Eukaryota; Viridiplantae; Streptophyta; Magnoliopsida; Fabales; Fabaceae. The transcript is spliced from 2 exons. The record is from RefSeq and is a predicted model, not a curated record.
UAACUAUUCAUUCUCUCAUUGCUCUGUUCUCUCUCUCUCUCUGAUAAUAAUAAUCUCAUUCUUUUCUGAAAGCUCUCUCUGAUUCUUGUUUCUUCUUCAUGGAAUCACCGCGCACUCCGAUUUCAUCGCCAUCGUCCCAGUCGUCGGUAACUCCUUCACCUCCUCGUGCACCCAAAAAAAGCAAUAACCAACGAAUGAUAUAUUCUACCCCGAUGCUACGCUUAAUGGAUCGAAUCAUUCAAGAUGGUGAAUUGUGGUUGCUUGAGUAUCGAAGGAAUCAGAACACCGCUCAACUCAUCGAAAACGAGAGAAAGAGAAAAAUCAAAAUUUUGAUGUCACUUCGAUGAUGAUGAUGAUUAUAGUAACCCUUUCACAAUUAUUUCUCUCUUAUUAUUCCUUUUCAGAUAUGACAUAUAUAGAUGCUUUCUAUAUCAAAAUGGGUAUGGAAAAAGGGUAAGAUUUCAUUGUUAUUUUUUGACAUAAUAUAUAGAUGCUUUCUAUAUAUGGAUAUAGGUGAGUUCAUUGCCACUUCCUCCUUCUCAGGCUCGUUAGUUUUCAAUUUCAUUUCUAUAAAGUUUUAAACUUUCUUAUUUUUAGGUUAUAAAAAUUGAUACUUUAGUUAUGUUAUGUCGUUUUAAUUUGGGUUAUAAAAACUUACCCUUUUUUGUUUAAGGAAAAAGGGUAAUAUUCCAUUGUUAUUUUUUGACAUAAUAUAUAGAUGCUUUCUAUAUGGGUAAGUCAAAGGUGAGAUAUUUCUUCCUUUCAAUUGUUAUUUUAUUUUAUUAUGAAAUUCUGAUGUGAUGAUCUGUUCUGUUGGGGGGAGAAGGAGAACAUCUCAGGUAGGUAUAAAGUUUUAAACUUUCUUAUUUUUAGGUUAUAAAAAUUGAUACUUUAGUUAUGUCGUUUUAAUUUGGGUAAUUUGAUUUUUCUUUUUUCUUUUUUUUUUGUUUCAGAAAUUGUGGGUUUUGUUUAUUUGUUGUAUUCUUUUUGUUGAUGAUUUAUGUUCUUGAUUGUGUUUUGGUGUUUGGACUUUUGACUAAUUUGUUGGUGAUCUAUAUAGGUUUCAUUUUAUGGAGGUAGGUAUGUAAUUUUUUUUAUCGGGUUUGUGGAGGUUUGACACCGCCCGCCAAUGGAUGGUACUAACCAAACAAAACUUUCGUCAAGUUCUUCCUAGUUUCGACUGUUUCAGCUUUGACCGAGUUUCUAUUUUCUUUUAUUAUGCAAUUGUGAUUAAUGAUAUGUUGGAGAGAAGAUAUAUUUUUUUUUGUUUGUUUGAAUCCAUAACUACCUUGAUUGUCAGAGUCAAUGCAGGUACUACAGCUUGUGUAGGAUAAAAAUCAGUCUUGUCUCUUCAGGUCAUUAGAGAAAGGAGCAGAAGAUACUAUAAGAGGCUGAGAGGGUAAUCAUAUCGGAAACAGUUCUUCCUCGUGACUUAGGUAUUUAGUUCUUCCUCAUGAUUUAGUCCUUUAAUUUGUAUUUCUUACUGGCAUUGAUUUAAUGUUUUUAGGUUGCUUCAGAUAUUAAACAAGUCUGUGAUACGUUAAAAAAAAAUUAUUAAGCUAGGGAAUAAUUCAAUUGGAGCCCAUGUGAUCUCUAUGCCCUCAAGUAUUAACAAGGAUUCUGUUCUCACUGAUUCUAGAUCUCGUUAUUGAAGUUUUCAAUGGGAUACAUUGCUUACAUAUGUUCUAGCUUCAAUAUCAUGUCCUUUUAUGUCAAACCAGUAUACCUAAGUAUUUAUUUCUUCCUCAAUUAAAAUUGAAAUUUUUGCUCUCGGCAUAUUAUAUAAACUCUUUCUAUGUUCUCUGUCCUUGAAUUUGUAUUUCUUACUGGCAUUGAUUUAUUACUUAUUGGUUGCUUCAGAUGUUAAACAUGUCUCGGAUACAUUCAGAUUUUUAUUAAGCUAGGGAGUGAUUCGGUUGGAGCCCAUGUGAUCUCUAAGCCCUCAAGUAUUAACAAGGAUUCUGUUCCAGCACUAACCUUUUUAAUGGUUAUAAAUAAUAUGUAGGCAAGCUAUAAUCCUUGACUUAUAGAGAUACAAAUAUGAGAGUCUGCGUGCUCAGAUUCAUUGAUCAACUUCCCCUUUGAGCCAUUUUCCUUUAAUCCCUUUUUGGUACAAAUAUGUAUAUUAUUGAUGGUAAAGGAAAAUAGUAGUAGAAGAUCUCUCUAGUUAGCAGCUACUUCCGGAGCAAAGCCCCAACACAGAGAAAUAUCUAUCUUUGGCCCUAACAGAAAAUAUUUCCAUCCUACCCUCUCUCUGGUGUCUGGCCUAAUAUUUGUCAAAACUUAUUAAGUGUAGGACAGUUGCUUGAAAAGGGUUCAUAAAUAUCUUUAAGAAUAGUAUGUGUGUGAGUAAAUCUGCUAUGCCUAAGACUUGUUCAUAUCUUUAAAAGAUUAUCAUUAGAGUCCUUUCAAUGUGAGGAAGCUUCUGUUGUAAAAUCAAUUUGUGAUACUGAAGUUUGCCACUAGAGGAUGUGCCAUUUUAAUCAUGUAUGAACUUUUACAAGGGUAUGCUGAUUUAAUUUUUGAAAUUUGAAGUUGCUGAUAUUUUUUGUAAAUUCAAAAAUUGGGUUGAAAAUAAGAGUGGAUGCAAAAUUUAAGUAUCAGGUAAUGGAAUUGAAUACACCUAAAAAAAUUCAAUUAGCUUUGUGAAGAGGUUGGAAUUACACCUCAACUCACUGCUCCCUACUCAUCGCGGCAGAAUGGUGAGUGAAAGUAAUACUAGGACCGUGAUGCAGAUGCUUGCUAUAUGAGAAAAAUAUGCCUAGAAGUUUUUUGCUUAACAGACUAACUACAAUGACUGAUAUUGUAGAGAUGUCAUAUUUCUUGGUAAUGUAGGCUUAAGCAAAAUUAUUUGCAGGAAUCCUUAUAUGUCAAAAGAAGUAUGCUGAGAUGAUGAGAUCCUAAAGAAGUUCAAUAUGAGCAAAAACAAGCCCAUGAUGAGAAUGAGAAGCUUAUCAAAGAAAAUGGGUCUAGAAGAGUUGAAGAAGCUUACAGAAGCUUAGUUGGAUUCUUAAUUAACAUACUUCAAUCAGGCUGUUAGUCAGAUUCAUUGAUCAACUUCCCCUUUGAGCCCUUUUCCUUUAAUCCCUUUGAGGUACAAAUAUGUAUAUUAUGGUAAAGGAAAAUAGUAGUAGAACAUCUCUCUAUUAGUAGCUACUUCCAGAGGAAAGGUCCAACACAGAGAAAUAUCUAUCUCUGGCCCUAACAGAAAAUAAUUCCAUCAAAACUUAUUAAGUGUAGGAAGUUACUUGAAAAGGGGUCAUACAUUAUCUUUAAGAAUAGUAUGUGUGUGAUUAAAUCUGCUGAUGCCUAAGAAUUGUUCAGUAUACCGAUGAAGGUAAAAAGAUUUUCAUUAGAGUUGUUGCAAUGUGAGGAAGCUGCUGUUUUAAAAUCAAUUUCUGAUACCGAAGUUUGGCACUAGAGUAUGUGCCAUUUUAAUCAGGCAGAGAAGGUUGCAGUUGAUACAUACAGAUCUUCAGCAUAUAUUACAUACUCUUCAUGUAUGAAUUUACAAGGUUAUGCUGGAUUUAAUUUUUGAAAUUUGAAGUUGCUGAUAUUUUUUGUAAAUUCAAAAAUUUGGUUGAAAAUCAGAGUGGAUGCAAAAAAUUCAAGUGUUAAGAUCAGAUAAUGGAAUUGAAUAACCUCAAAAAUUCAAUUAGCAUUGUGAAGAGGGUGGAAUUACAUAUCAACUCACUGCUCCAUACUCAUUGCAGCAGAAUAGUGUGAGUAAAAGGAAGAACAUAGGACCCUGAUGGAAAUGGCUCGAUUCUUGCUAUACGAGAAAAGUACGCCUAAGAAGAGUUGAAGAAGAAUAUGGACGACGCUUAGUUGGAUGCUUAAUUAAGGUGCCUUACGUCAGGCUGUUAGCAUCCUUUCAAGAUUUCUGCAUUAUGCUAGUGAGGAGCUUCUCAAUGUAGCAACGAGUGUUGAGAUAUAAUAACAAUGGAAUUACAAGAUAUUCAUGGUUUCUGAGAUAAUGAUUGGGUUGGAUCUAUCGAUUAUAUGCCUAGCACCUCUGGCUACUGUUUUUCAUUUGGUUCUGGAAUGUAUUCAUGGUGCUAAAAAGAGCAAGAUAUUGUUUCUCAAUUAACAGCAGAGGCAAGAGUUCCUAGCAGCAGCUGAAGCAGUUAAUGAAGAAUUGUGGAUUAGGAAGUUGUUAAAAGAUGUUCAAGUGUUUAUGUGGAUAGUAGUUAAAUUCCAACAAUCCAGUGUUUUAUGGAAAGAGACCAAUAUAAUGAAGUGUUUUAGUAGUGGAUUAAGAAUUUAAGAUAUUCUGUUUUAGGAGAUUGUUAUCAAUUUUUGUAUUUAAAGAUGCUUCAUAUCAAUAAAAUUUGAAGUAUAGUUUUAAAAACAGAUUAUUUAAUACAAUACAAUGAUAUUAUUUUCCUA